This 403-nucleotide ribosomal RNA is filed under the name uncultured bacterium. Its description in RNAcentral is "bacterial SSU rRNA". It matches the Rfam family "Bacterial small subunit ribosomal RNA", at positions 917 to 1322 of the family's 1533-position model. The record is from RNAcentral.
GGGCCCGCACAAGCGGUGGAGCAUGUGGUUUAAUUCGAUGCAACGCGAAGAACCUUACCAGGGUUUGACAUCCUGCGAAUCUUUUGGAAACGAGAGAGUGCCUUCGGGAACGCAGUGACAGGUGGUGCAUGGCUGUCGUCAGCUCGUGUCGUGAGAUGUUGGGUUAAGUCCCGCAACGAGCGCAACCCACGUCGUUAGUUGCCAGCAUUUAGUUGGGCACUCUAGCGAGACCGCCGGUGAUAAACCGGAGGAAGGUGUGGAUGACGUCAAGUCAUCAUGCCCCUUACAUCCUGGGCUACACACGUGCUACAAUGGCAGUGACAGAGGGACGCUACCAGGUGACUGGAUGCAAAUCUCAAAAAGCUGUCUCAGUUCGGAUUGUUGUCUGCAACUCGACAACAUG